Pelobates cultripes (western spadefoot toad) is the source of this 340-nucleotide non-coding RNA. Lineage: Eukaryota; Metazoa; Chordata; Amphibia; Anura; Pelobatidae. The record is from the annotation of a GenBank genome assembly.
CUUUAGGGUACCAUUAAAACGCUCACAGAGACCGUUAGUCUGGGGGUGGUACGGGGAGCUGAGCAGGGUCUUGACACCACAGACCUUCCAUAACUGCUGGGUUAGAUCUGCGGUGAACUGGGUCCCUCGGUCAGAUAGGAUUUCCUGAGGGAAUCCCACUCUGGUGAAUAUCCAGACUAGGGCACUGGCGACAGUGUCAGCCUGGAUAUUCGUCAGAGCGACAGCCUAUGGGUAGCGGGUAGCAUAGUCCACUACUGUAAGAAUAUAUUUCUUACCCGAGGGACUGGGGUUAGGUAGGGGUCCCACUAGGUCGACUGCCACCCGGCUAAACGGUUCCUCG